Molecule: ribosomal RNA, 601 nt
Filed under: Nitrososphaerales archaeon
Lineage: Archaea; Thermoproteati; Nitrososphaerota; Nitrososphaeria; Nitrososphaerales
Description: bacterial SSU rRNA
Rfam family: Archaeal small subunit ribosomal RNA
Source: RNAcentral
GGCCGACUCCGGUUGAUCCUGCCGGACCCGACUGCUAUCGGAUUGGGACUAAGCCAUGCGAGUCAACUCCGCAAGGGGUGGCGCACGGCUCAGUAACACGUAGUCAACCUACCCUGGGGACGGGGAUAACCUCGGGAAACUGAGGCUAAACCCCGAUAGGCCAUGGCUCCUGGAAUGGGCCAUGGCUGAAAUCUAUAUGGCCCCAGGAUGGGACUGCGGCCGAUCAGGUUGUUGGUGGGGUAAUGGCCCACCAAGCCUAUAACCGGUGCGGGCUCUGAGAGGAGGAGCCCGGAGAUGGGCACUGAGACAAGGGCCCAGGUCCUAUGGGGCGCAGCAGGCGCGAAACCUCCGCAAUGGGCGAAAGCCCGACGGGGUCAGUCCGAGUGGUCCCCGCUGAGGGGACCUUUUGCCAGCUGUAAACAGGCUGGAGAAUAAGGGGUGGGCAAGUUUGGUGUCAGCCGCCGCGGUAAUACCAGCACCCCGAGUGGUCGGGACGAUUAUUGGGCCUAAAGCAUCCGUAGCCGGCUCAGUAAGUCCUCCGUUAAAUCCAACGGCUCAACCGUUGGGCUGCGGGGGAUACUGCUGGGCUAGGGGGCGGGAG